GUCUUUGUAGAUAUAGGUGUUUUGAGAAUACGCCUUAAGGAUCAAUGGUUAACGAUGGCCUCUGAUGGGUGGUUUCGCUAGAAUAGGCAAUAAUGAGAUCACCAUUUUAGUAAACGAUGCAGAAAGAGGUAGUGAUAGAUUGAUCCGCAAGAAGCUCAGCGAACUCUUGAAAUAGCUGAAGCUAACUUGAGUAGAGCUGAAG
This is a long non-coding RNA of Telopea speciosissima, 202 nucleotides long. RefSeq lists it as uncharacterized. NCBI's taxonomy places the organism in Eukaryota, Viridiplantae, Streptophyta, Magnoliopsida, Proteales, Proteaceae. The transcript has 3 exons. The record is from RefSeq and is a predicted model, not a curated record.